Molecule: ribosomal RNA, 460 nt
Filed under: uncultured bacterium
Lineage: Bacteria
Description: partial 16S ribosomal RNA
Rfam family: Bacterial small subunit ribosomal RNA
Source: RNAcentral
CCUACGGGAGGUAGCAGUGAGGAAUAUUGGUCAAUGGCCGCGAGCCUGAACCAGCCAAGUAGCGUGAAGGAUGACUGCCCUACGGGUUGUAAACUUCUUUUAUAAGGGAAUAAAGUGAGCCACGUGUGCCUUUUUGUCUGUACUUUAUGAAUAAGGAUCGGCUAACUCCGUGCCAGCAGCCGCGGUAAUACGGGGGAUGCAAGCGUUGUCCGGAAUCAUUGGGCGUAAAGGGUUCGUAGGCGGCACGUAAAGUCUGGUGUUAAAGGCAGAGGCUCAACUUCUGUACGGCCCUGGAUACUUGAGAGCGAGAAUUCGGUAGAGGUAAAGGGAAUUCCUGGAGUAGCGGUGAAAUGCUUAGAUAUCACGAAGAACAUCGGUGGCGUAAGCGCCUUACCGGGCCGUAAUUGACGCUGAGGAACGAGAGCCAGGGUAGCAAAUGGGAUUAGAUACCCGAGUAGUC